UACCUUUGCCUCGCUUUUGGUUCCCGGUCGCACUGGCCGGGAUUAAAAGGGAAUACGGUGUAAUUCCGUAACUGUCCCGCAGCUGUAAGCUCUGUAACGGUGUUCAAAUCGGGCCACUUUUUAUCUGAGGAAAAGAUAAUUGGGAAGGCAGAAUAUCCGGGAGCAAGUCAGAAGACCUGCCAAAAGUGGUAAUAUUUC
This 198-nucleotide non-coding RNA is filed under the name Pedobacter africanus. Lineage: Bacteria; Pseudomonadati; Bacteroidota; Sphingobacteriia; Sphingobacteriales; Sphingobacteriaceae. The record is from RNAcentral.